Molecule: ribosomal RNA, 362 nt
Filed under: uncultured bacterium
Lineage: Bacteria
Description: bacterial SSU rRNA
Rfam family: Bacterial small subunit ribosomal RNA
Source: RNAcentral
AACGAACGCUGGCGGCAGGCUUAACACAUGCAAGUCGAACGGGUGUAGCAAUACAUCAGUGGCAGACGGGUGAGUAACACGUGGGAACCUUCCUAGGGGUACGGAACAACUCAGGGAAACUUGAGCUAAUACCGUAUACGUCCGUAAGGAGAAAGAUUCAUCGCCCCUAGACGGGCCCGCGUCGGAUUAGGUAGUUGGUGGGGUAACGGCCUACCAAGCCUACGAUCCGUAGCUGAUCUGAGAGGAUGAUCAGCCACACUGGGACUGAGACACGGCCCACGACUCCUACGGGAGGCAGCAGUGGGGAAGUCUUGGACAAUGGGCGCAAGCCUGAUCCAGCCAUGCCGCGUGAGUGAAGAAGG